UGAAGUUUAACUGUGCUGAGUCUUAGACUUUUCCUUCAAUCCCCAGCUAUGCGGGUACAAGGAUGUACCCGCAAACGAAGCCACGCCACGGAUGGCGUGUCUGAGUGGUAGCGUACAUAACCACUACAUAUAUGAAAAGUCUUAGAGUCAGCCAGUUAAAUCUUC
Molecule: non-coding RNA, 165 nt
Organism: Eubacterium sp. CAG:252
Lineage: Bacteria; Bacillati; Bacillota; Clostridia; Eubacteriales; Eubacteriaceae
Source: Rfam